GUCCCGCAACGAGCGCAACCCCUAUUGCAGUUGCAACAGGAGAGCUGAGCACUCUGGCGAGACUGCCGCCGACAAGGCGGAGGAAGGUGGGGAUGACGUCAAGUCAUCAUGGCCUUUAUGCCCAGGGCUACACACGUGCUACAAUGGCCGGCACAGACGGCAGCUUAGUGGCGACACUUGGCAAAUCCUCUAAAGCCGGUCCCAGUUCGGAUUGUAGUCUGCAACUCGACUACAUGAAGUCGGAAUCGCUAGUAAUCGUGAAUCAGAAUGUCACGGUGAAUACGUUUCCGGGCCUU
This 296-nucleotide ribosomal RNA is filed under the name uncultured Synergistaceae bacterium. RNAcentral's name for it is "partial 16S ribosomal RNA". It matches the Rfam family "Bacterial small subunit ribosomal RNA", at positions 1084 to 1382 of the family's 1533-position model. The record is from RNAcentral. Lineage: Bacteria; Thermotogati; Synergistota; Synergistia; Synergistales; Synergistaceae.